This 100-nucleotide small nuclear RNA is filed under the name Mus musculus (house mouse). Its description in RNAcentral is "U2 spliceosomal RNA". It matches the Rfam family "U2 spliceosomal RNA". From Rfam's summary of the family: U2 is a small nuclear RNA (snRNA) component of the spliceosome (involved in pre-mRNA splicing). Complementary binding between U2 snRNA (in an area lying towards the 5' end but 3' to hairpin I) and the branchpoint sequence (BPS) of the intron results the bulging out of an unpaired adenosine, on the BPS, which initiates a nucleophilic attack at the intronic 5' splice site, thus starting the first of two transesterification reactions that mediate splicing. Lineage: Eukaryota; Metazoa; Chordata; Mammalia; Rodentia; Muridae. The record is from Rfam by way of RNAcentral.
AUCACUUCUCGGCCUUUUGGCUAAGAUCAAGUGUAUGUAUUUGUGUCUAAAUAUAUAUAUAUAUAUAUAUAUAUAUAUAUGCUUACAUGAAUGAACAUGU